RNAcentral lists this long non-coding RNA (386 nucleotides) under Mytilus galloprovincialis (Mediterranean mussel). Lineage: Eukaryota; Metazoa; Mollusca; Bivalvia; Mytilida; Mytilidae. The record is from RNAcentral.
AUUAUGACGUUUUAACUUGUUCAUUAUGUCUCCGCCGAAAGAUGUAAAUUUUAAAAGUUUGACCCUUGACCAUUCCUACGACGUAAUCAAAUUUUAUUUCCCGCAAUAAGUAAAGUAACUGAAACUACGUAUCGACACUUUGAUAAGAAAGUAUUGUUACAGAUGAUGGAUUUUCUGUAAGGAAAUGUUGAAGUUUUUAUGGGCAUGCCUUCAAUCAAUUGUAAUACAAUAAAUCAUUUCAAUUCUAGAGAUUGUCCAGAUUCUGCUAUUAUUCACAUGCAGUAAUAAAUCACAUGCAGUGGUAUCGAUGAAUAUCUGAAAAAUAAAGAAGAAAGGCACUACUAACACUCGAAGGAUAACAACAAACUACAAAUCUAUAAAUUCAC